Molecule: ribosomal RNA, 253 nt
Filed under: uncultured bacterium
Lineage: Bacteria
Description: partial 16S ribosomal RNA
Rfam family: Bacterial small subunit ribosomal RNA
Source: RNAcentral
UCCGUAGGGUGCGAGCGUUGUCCGGAAUUACUGGGCGUAAAGAGCUCGUAGGUGGUUUGUCGCGUUGUUCGUGAAAACUCACAGCUUAACUGUGGGCGUGCGGGCGAUACGGGCAGACUGGAGUACUGCAGGGGAAACUGGAAUUCCUGGUGUAGCGGUGGAAUGCGCAGAUAUCAGGAGGAACACCGGUGGCGAAGGCGGGUCUCUGGGCAGUAACUGACGCUGAGGAGCGAAAGCGUGGGGAGAGAACAGG